GGAGAUUUCUGCUUUGUCAAGGCUCCAGCAGCGAGCCAUGCGGAUGCUGCCAGCCCGGCGGGUUGCGAUGGGGAGGCAGAGCUCACCCAACAGCAUCCCCAGUGCUGUCUCUGAUGUGGCACCACGGGCUUGCACACAGAGACACGACUGAGUGCUUGUGCUGAAGCCUCACAUGUGCCUUUACGCCGAUGAAGCCGAGUCAGCCGCCAGACAUCCACCGCAAAGUCUCUGCUGUCCUCAGCCGGGAUCUAGCCUGUGACCUUCAGCACUAGGAACGCCAGGCUCUGUUGCCCGAGCUAGAGAAAAUAUUCUGCAGCUGCAAGAAAAUCCCAAGCUCUGCCGUGCUUUUGCCCACUAGAGGGAAGUGCAUUCACACGCACACGGGUGAGCGUACAGCCAUGCACAUGCAGUGCCUCUCUCCGCUCCCUGCCCACACCAGGACCGCGCUGGACCCAACAGGGAGGCUGCCGGUGCCUCUGGCCACCCACCAUGAUGUCUUUGCCAAAAUGCUGCUGGUAGCUGGGCAGGGCAAUGGGCUGCCCAUCCCUUGCCGCUAUCAACACGCUUGCACGGGCACUGUAGGCAAAUUGCUCCUCGGUGGAUAAACAUACAGGGGUGAAACUGGAGCUCUGCAGGGAAAGGAUUCAGCCACACGCUCACUGUGGAGCUGUGCUUGAAUUGGUGGAGGAAUAUGGAGCGUCUGGCCCCAAGCCAUUUCAGCCCUGUCUGCACUUCGCAAACUGCUAUACGCACAGAUGUAAUCCAUACAGAUGGGUUUUAAACAUGAGCAGCCAUGGCAAUGCAGUCAGGCGCACUCAGUAACAGUAUGUAUAUGUAAGCAGUCAAACACAGGCUGUAUGAAAUUAUAUAUAUGUGCCCAAAUACAUGCUGUGCUGCCUGUCUGUCCAGCCAGCCAGGUUAGAUUAUCUCCUCCUCAGUAGAAUGGCUUAUGAAACAAAGCUUCUAUGCAAAUGUAUGCUGAUGCAAUGUAAGAGAAGACCUAUCCCCAUGAACACAGAACCAAGUGCCGUGGUGCUUUGCUGUACAUUGUUAAGUGUGGGUUGCCUCCAUCCCAGGAUUGCUGCCUUCUAGCUGUAGUGGGAGAACAUCCCAUCAAGAUGCCAGCUACUUCUGUGAUCGGUGGAAAUGAAGCUCGUUUUCCAUGAAUAUGUAUCCUGUGGUUGAAUUCCUGGGUGUGUAGUUAAUUAGGAACUCAGAUGGAAUUAACUUUUUCAUGAAACUUGUGAGAACUUAAUGUAUUUGAGGUUGCUAGCUCUAAAUCACAUUUGACUAUGACUGGUCAAUUAGAUCAGAUGUUAUUAGAUGGGAUAUUGUAGUGAAAUAAGGAGAUACAGAUGUUCUCAUAUCUGAACAUGGGGCAUGAUUUUGAUGGGAAACCAGUCCAAUAGGGCAGGUUUGAAAGUUUAAUUUUAUCUGUGCUUUGACUGAGGUGUGUCAUGUUAUCCA
This 1467-nucleotide long non-coding RNA is filed under the name Anser cygnoides (Swan goose). Its description in RNAcentral is "lncRNA (ENSACDG00005016117.1)". Lineage: Eukaryota; Metazoa; Chordata; Aves; Anseriformes; Anatidae. The record is from RNAcentral.